This 468-nucleotide ribosomal RNA is filed under the name uncultured bacterium. Its description in RNAcentral is "partial 16S ribosomal RNA". It matches the Rfam family "Bacterial small subunit ribosomal RNA", at positions 28 to 507 of the family's 1533-position model. The record is from RNAcentral.
GGCGAACGCUGGCGGCGUGCUUAACACAUGCGAGUCGAACGGAAAGGCCCUGCUUUUGUGGGGUGCUCGAGUGGCGAACGGGUGAGUAACACGUGAGUAACCUGCCCUUGACUUUGGGAUAACUUCAGGAAACUGGGGCUAAUACCGGAUAGGAGCUCCUGCUGCAUGGUGGGGGUUGGAAAGUUUCGGCGGUUGGGGAUGGACUCGCGGCUUAUCAGCUUGUUGGUGGGGUAGUGGCUUACCAAGGCUUUGACGGGUAGCCGGCCUGAGAGGGUGACCGGCCACAUUGGGACUGAGAUACGGCCCAGCCUCCUACGGGAGGCAGCAGUGGGGAAUAUUGCACAAUGGGCGGAAGCCUGAUGCAGCAACGCCGCGUGCGGGAUGACGGCCUUCGGGUUGUAAACCGCUUUCGCCUGUGACGAAGCGUGAGUGACGGUAAUGGGUAAAGAAGCACCGGCUAACUACGUG